Long non-coding RNA from Canis lupus familiaris (dog), 1014 nucleotides. RefSeq lists it as uncharacterized. The record is from RefSeq and is a predicted model, not a curated record. Lineage: Eukaryota; Metazoa; Chordata; Mammalia; Carnivora; Canidae. The transcript is spliced from 3 exons.
GUUCAUAAUCUGCCUUUCUUCACUCUGCUUGGUGCCUGAGGAGCUGAGCCCCAUGGACCUUGCUUCAGCAAGAUUCCAUUACCUUCUGUCUUUCAGCUGGCCAUUGGGAAACUUGUCAGAGAAAAGUUUCCUUUACUCAUGAAAUAAGGUACAUACCUUGAGCCCAGUGAAACAAACUCAAGGACACCUAGAACAUUCUCAUAACCUCUUAAUGAUCCUGAGUACCAGAUGCCUAUUGCUAAUCAACAUGAUCACUGUUGCCUUUGCCAUUUAUAAAUAGGGAGUUUGAUGAAUAUGCAGGGCCAUUUGCACUGAGCUUUGAAUCUGCUUCAGUCUUUACAUGAUGUAAAGAAGCAUCUGCUUGCCUUAGUCACCCAAACAAAUUCCAAAAAUGAAAGGUGAAAAUAUCCUAAAGCUGUUGGAUUUCACUUUUUAAAAAUUUGCCACUGUUGCCUUUCAAGGAGAUUUAAUAACAAUUGCUUGUGAGGGAACUUAUAGGAGAAAACCAAAGACAAUGAUAAAAAAAUUAUAUAAAGAUAUUUGUUCAUCUGAAAAUAACUUGUUUUUUUUUUUUAUUCCAAAGAAAAGCAAAUGAUUUCUUGUACCUGGUUUAUGCAUAGCUAUUUACUUAACUAACUUCUCGAGGAAAAUUUCUGCAUCCUUAAUUGUAUAGGCCAUAAUGUCUUUUAACUGGGAUGAUUAAAACAAAGAAUACCCCAGACUGGUUUUUUUUUCAUACAUAUAUAUUCUAACCCUCUCUUUCAAAUAAAUAGCCAACUCUCUUGUUUUGCAUCUCUCUCUCUCUCCUACCCGACAUUGUCUUCUCCCUUCCCCCCUCCCUUUCUUCCUUUCUUCUCCAAAGCAGUUCUUCAAACUAUAUAUUGUUUUUUUAUGAGCAAUAUGAAGACACAUACUUAAAAGAGGGCUGAUGUGCUGAACCUCAAUCAUUGCCUUUAAAUACUGCCAGAACUAUUGUAAGAGGGAUGAAACUUGGGAAAUACAAACUGUACUGAA